RNAcentral lists this ribosomal RNA (497 nucleotides) under uncultured bacterium. Its description in RNAcentral is "partial 16S ribosomal RNA". It matches the Rfam family "Bacterial small subunit ribosomal RNA", at positions 28 to 507 of the family's 1533-position model. The record is from RNAcentral.
GAUGAACGCUGGCGGCGUGCCUAAUACAUGCAAGUCGAGCGAACGGACGAGAAGCUUGCUUCUCUGAUGUUAGCGGCGGACGGGUGAGUAACACGUGGAUAACCUACCUAUAAGACUGGGAUAACUUCGGGAAACCGGAGCUAAUACCGGAGAAUAUUUUGAACCGCAUGGUUCAAAAGUGAAAGACGGUCUUGCUGUCACUUAUAGAUGGAUCCGCGCUGCAUUAGCUAGUUGGUAAGGUAACGGCUUACCAAGGCAACGAUGCAUAGCCGACCUGAGAGGGUGAUAGGCCACCCGGGAACUUAGCCACGGUCCAGACUCCUACGGGAGGCAGCAGUAGGGAAUCUUCCGCAAUGGGCGAAAGCCUUACGGAGCAACGCCGCGUGAGUGAUGAAGGUCUUCCGAUCGUAAAACUCUGUUAUUAGGGAAGAACAUAUGUGUAAGUAACUGUGCACAUCGUGACGGUACCUAAUCAGAAAGCCACGGCUAACUACGUG